This 232-nucleotide ribosomal RNA is filed under the name uncultured bacterium. Its description in RNAcentral is "partial small subunit ribosomal RNA". It matches the Rfam family "Bacterial small subunit ribosomal RNA", at positions 26 to 288 of the family's 1533-position model. The record is from RNAcentral.
AGAACGAACGCUGGCGGCAGGCUUAACACAUGCAAGUCGAACGCCCCGCAAGGGGAGUGGCAGACGGGUGAGUAACACGUGGGAACAUACCCUUCGGUACGGAACAACUCGGGGAAACGCGAGCUAAUACCGUAUACGCCUUGGCGGGGAAAGAUUUAUCGCCGAAGGAUUGGCCCGCGUCCGAUUAGCUAGUUGGUGAGGUAAUGGCUCACCAAGGCGACGAUCGGUAGCU